GGCUUGUUGAUUAUAAUUUCAGGUCUGACCUGCCCAAUGAGCGAUUAAAUGGCCGCGGUAUAUUGACCGUGCAAAGGUAGCAUAAUCAUUAGUUUUUUAAUUGAAAGCUUGUAUGAAAGGUUUAAUGAAAAAAUUUCUGUCUCUUGAAAAAUUUAUUAGAAUUUUAUUUUUAAGUUAAAAAGCUUAAAUUUUUAUAGAAGACGAGAAGACCCUGUAGAGUUUUAUAAUUAUUAAAAAAAGCUUAAUUUUAAGUAUGAAAAUUAGUUUUUUUAAAGAUUAUUUUGUUGGGGUGAUAGGAAAAUUGAUAGAACUUUUCUUAUAUUAGAACAUUAAUUUGUGAAUAAAUGAUCCUAAGAUUAAGAUUAAAAGAUUAAAUUACCUUAGGGAUAACAGCGUAAUUUUCUUUAGAGUUCUUAUUAAAUAGAAAGAUUGCGACCUCGAUGUUGGAUUAAAAUUAAUUAUUGGUGUAGAAGCUAAAAGAUUAGGUCUGUUCGACCUUUAAAAUUUUACAUGAUCUGAGUUUAGACCGGCGUGAG
Molecule: ribosomal RNA, 536 nt
Filed under: Trigonopterus sp. 801 AR-2022a
Lineage: Eukaryota; Metazoa; Arthropoda; Insecta; Coleoptera; Curculionidae
Description: partial large subunit ribosomal RNA
Rfam family: Bacterial large subunit ribosomal RNA
Source: RNAcentral